This 506-nucleotide ribosomal RNA is filed under the name uncultured bacterium. RNAcentral describes it as "partial 16S ribosomal RNA". It matches the Rfam family "Bacterial small subunit ribosomal RNA", at positions 28 to 523 of the family's 1533-position model. The record is from RNAcentral.
GAUGAACGCUAGCUACAGGCUUAACACAUGCAAGUCGAGGGGUAACGAGAGGAAAGCUUGCUUUCCUUGUCGACGACCGGCGCACGGGUGAGUAACGCGUAUCCAACCUGCCCCCAACUAGGGAAUAACCUUGCGAAAGUAAGACUAAUACCCUAUACUUUCCUCAGAUGACAUCUGACGAGGAAUAAAGAUUUAUCGGUUGUGGAUGGGGAAGCGUCUAGUUAGCUUGUUGGCGGGGUAACGGCCCACCAAGGCAACGAUCAGUAGGGGUGCUGAGAGGAAGGUCCCCCACAUUGAAACUGAGACACGGUCCAAACUCCUACGGGAGGCAGCAGUGAGGAAUAGUGGUCAAUGGGCGGAAGCCUGAACCAGCCAAGUAGCGUGCAGGAUGACGGCCCUAUGGGUUGUAAACUGCUUUUAUACAGGAAUAAAGUUAGCCACGUGUGGUUAUUUGUAGGUACUGUAUGAAUAAGGACCGGCUAAUUCCGUGCCAGCAGCCGCCGUAA